GGGCCAUAUUACGUUGAAACAUAGGUUCUUAUCCGAUCACCGAAGUUAAGCAACGUUGAACCUGGUCAGUCCCUAGAUGGGUGACUACUCGGGAAUACCAGAUGCUGUUA
Non-coding RNA from Acanthosepion pharaonis, 110 nucleotides. NCBI's taxonomy places the organism in Eukaryota, Metazoa, Mollusca, Cephalopoda, Sepiida, Sepiidae. The record is from the annotation of a GenBank genome assembly.